AUGAGAUUAAGUUAUAUGUAGACUAUGUGUUUUCAAAACACAAAGAAGCUUUCAGGGCUAUUUCAUG
RNAcentral lists this transfer RNA (67 nucleotides) under Rhinebothrium megacanthophallus. RNAcentral describes it as "tRNA-Trp". Lineage: Eukaryota; Metazoa; Platyhelminthes; Cestoda; Rhinebothriidea; Rhinebothriidae. The record is from RNAcentral.